This 494-nucleotide ribosomal RNA is filed under the name uncultured bacterium. RNAcentral's name for it is "bacterial SSU rRNA". It matches the Rfam family "Bacterial small subunit ribosomal RNA", at positions 28 to 523 of the family's 1533-position model. The record is from RNAcentral.
GAUGAACGCUAGCGGCAGGCUUAACACAUGCAAGUCGAGGGGUAUUGGUUUUCGGACCAAGAGACCGGCGCACGGGUGCGUAACGCGUAUGCAAUCUACCUUUUGCAGAGGGAUAGCCCAGAGAAAUUUGGAUUAAUACCUCAUAGUAUAGUACUUUGGCAUCAAGGAACUAUUAAAGUCACAACGGCAAAAGAUGAGCAUGCGUCCCAUUAGCUAGUUGGUAAGGUAACGGCUUACCAAGGCUACGAUGGGUAGGGGUCCUGAGAGGGAGAUCCCCCACACUGGUACUGAGACACGGACCAGACUCCUACGGGAGGCAGCAGUGAGGAAUAUUGGACAAUGGGCGCAAGCCUGAUCCAGCCAUGCCGCGUGCAGGAUGACGGUCCUAUGGAUUGUAAACUGCUUUUUAUACAGGAAGAAACACUCCGACGUGUCGGAGCUUGACGGUACUGUAAGAAUAAGGAUCGGCUAACUCGUGCCAGCAGCCGCGGUAA